This 756-nucleotide ribosomal RNA is filed under the name Flavobacterium sp. RNAcentral's name for it is "bacterial SSU rRNA". It matches the Rfam family "Bacterial small subunit ribosomal RNA", at positions 90 to 849 of the family's 1533-position model. Lineage: Bacteria; Pseudomonadati; Bacteroidota; Flavobacteriia; Flavobacteriales; Flavobacteriaceae. The record is from RNAcentral.
AGAGACCGGCGCACGGGUGCGUAACGCGUAUGCAAUCUACCUUUUACAGAGGGAUAGCCCAGAGAAAUUUGGAUUAAUACCUCAUAGUAUAGCAGUUUCGCAUGAAACCACUAUUAAAGUCACAACGGUAAAAGAUGAGCAUGCGUCCCAUUAGCUAGUUGGUAAGGUAACGGCUUACCAAGGCUACGAUGGGUAGGGGUCCUGAGAGGGAGAUCCCCCACACUGGUACUGAGACACGGACCAGACUCCUACGGGAGGCAGCAGUGAGGAAUAUUGGACAAUGGGCGCAAGCCUGAUCCAGCCAUGCCGCGUGCAGGAUGACGGUCCUAUGGAUUGUAAACUGCUUUUAUACGAGAAGAAACACUGCUUCGUGAAGCAGCUUGACGGUAUCGUAAGAAUAAGGAUCGGCUAACUCCGUGCCAGCAGCCGCGGUAAUACGGAGGAUCCAAGCGUUAUCCGGAAUCAUUGGGUUUAAAGGGUCCGUAGGCGGUUUAAUAAGUCAGUGGUGAAAGCCCAUCGCUCAACGGUGGAACGGCCAUUGAUACUGUUAGACUUGAAUUAUUAGGAAGUAACUAGAAUAUGUAGUGUAGCGGUGAAAUGCUUAGAGAUUACAUGGAAUACCAAUUGCGAAGGCAGGUUACUACUAAUGGAUUGACGCUGAUGGACGAAAGCGUGGGUAGCGAACAGGAUUAGAUACCCUGGUAGUCCACGCCGUAAACGAUGGAUACUAGCUGUUGGAAGCAAUUUCAGUGGCUA